Molecule: long non-coding RNA, 2745 nt
Organism: Athalia rosae (coleseed sawfly)
Lineage: Eukaryota; Metazoa; Arthropoda; Insecta; Hymenoptera; Athaliidae
Exons: 2
Source: RefSeq, a predicted model, not a curated record
AAAGUGAGAUACAAUUGUUAUCGACGAUGUAUAGAUUCCGUUUGAUGAAUUGAUAUUAUAGGUUGGGAUAGAUUAGGCAGAAUUGCGAGUAAACUUAUUGGGUGUCUUCUAAUUUGGCAAAGUUUCGUAUGACCGGUGAUAUUAUCUUUUCAUUGCUAUAAUAGACAACGUCUGUCAUGAUAUCUAACAGCUGGUGACUUUUUCCCCCCUUAAAACACACCGCAACUUUCUUGUUGUUUUAUACAGAUCUGUAUAAGUACCACACCAAUUUCGCGGUUCUAAUUCCAAUUUCUGAUCAUGUUAUGUACAUCUUUUUUCAUGAGACAGCCUCAAUGGCAGGUUUUCGUCUACGUGAUGAAGUUUAUAGGUCUGCAAUUUUAUCAGCACUUUUCUAAUAAGAUUAUAUCGUCUUACCAAAUGCAAAAAUGAUUUUCUAUUUUUCUGUCUUUCUGACGCGGUUAUAUGUCUCGUAUCAAUCAAUAUUGCACUUACCUGCAAUAACAGGAAUCAUAUCUAUUAUUAAAAUUCUGUUUCUUUUUUUUUUGUCUUUAUCGAAUGAUGCAUUUCUCUGCAGCGUUUCUUGAUCCCUUUUAUUAUUCAUCACAAGCGUAAUGGUAACUUGGUUUGUCUAUUUUUGAGAAAAUUCUAAGAUAGGUCCUCCAAAAUUGAAGUAUAACUAUAUACCGCACCUUGAUGGCGAAAGGUGCAGACGUGACCUUGGAGAUAAAUUACCCCAUCCGAAAUUCCUUUUUUUUUAUCAUUUCUGCUUACCUUCCUUUUUUUUAUUUAUUCGUAUAGUUUUUUUUCUUUAUUUUAUUUUGCUCCCCUAUAACAUCAUCCGACCCGGGGAAAAUAUCGUUUUGCAUUUCAUUCCACCUCUUUCCGUUACGGUACACGCAUUUUUAUCGCCGAACAGGAUAUUGUAUUGACUUUUCUUGUGAAUUCGGUGUGUGUACGUAGAAUUUGGAUUGUAGAUUUGAUAUGUUUGUCGCAGAAAAUCGUUGUAAUUGCAAAGUAUAAAUUCAUUGAUCGAUCAGCCAGCUGUAGUCGUUACAAAAUAACGCGAAUUCUCUCUGCGUUUUAUAAAGCUCUCGAACGCUGCGUUGGAGAAAAAAAAAUUAUUAUCUCUACACACGAGCUAUAUAACCACUUUGAGGUAUAUGGGACAGUACUUUUUUAAUCUUUCGAAAUGAGCUUUAUCAUCCUACUCUUUAUUAGGGACACCGCGAAAAAUAUACUGUAUUUCAGCUGGUGAUAUUCACCGCAUCAAAUUAAUCCGGGCUUUACGCCGUUCCGUAGUUAAUUUUUGAUUCGGCCAUUUUUUUUUUUUUCUUCUGUCGUUACCGUUUUUCUUAUUCUUUCGAUGAUUCGCAACUGUUAAUUGAACUUCUUCAAAUCACGGUUCAUCCCUUGAAUGCUGAGUAGGGGCUUCAAAACUUCUGGUUUAGAAUUGGGACAAAAUUUUCUUGACGAUUUGUAAAUUUUCUAUGCGGAAGAUGAGUUUUUGAAGUCGCCGAACUAUUUUGACGAUACGACAACCAAUACAGUAAGAGGUUUGUCUCCUCUGUGGUUAUUUCUACUUGUGUUACAUUCCAUGCUCUUUGAAAUUACACGAAAACCUAAAGAAGAGAAAAUGCUACGUGAUCGAGAAAAAAAAAAAACCAGUGAUCUGAAAUACUAUAUAGCGCUGCAGUAUCGUGCUCGUCGCCAAAGACCCUUAAAAUGAUUUCGUGUACCUUUGAUGUGAGAUAUCUCUGUUGAAAAUGUAGGAGUUGCAAUAGGUGUAUAACGCGGUGAAAGUAUAUGGCAUGAAUGAAAAAUCGUUAUGCUUUGAGUCAGAAAGAGCAGGGCACUUUUGUAAAAAUUGAACCUCGAAUUAGCUGAAAAUUUAUGUCGCCUUGUUUGUACAAAAGAAUAGGAAUGAAAGAAUAUACUUCGCAAUGAUUUUCACGCGAAUAAUGGUGGUAUUUUUCCGUAGACAUGACGAUAUGUCGCUGUCACUAAAUCGCCGUCGAACCACAAUGUUCAGCUGCCGAAAGAAAUCAAGUGUAUCACAUCUACGAGUCAGGCCUCUCGAGGGACUUUUAUUUUAUUCAGUUUUCUUUUUUGUCUUCCGCACGCAUCAUCAACUCACGUUUAAAUAAUAUCACAUCUAAGGGUCCCUUCACCCUUAAAGUACCACCAUCAUUUUCAUUCUACUAACAGGCGUCGGUUUAUAAAAAAAUUCAUUACCGCGGAUGCGAGAUGAAUCAAUCACUAAAUAAAAAUAAUGAGGGUACUCCUUCGUUUUCUUGGGUCAGAUUCAAGGACCCCUGAUCCAUCAAACGUCCUCCAAGUCCAUCAAUGUCAUCAAGCUUUGACACCUUUGACUUGAUCCUCUUUUGAUGGACCACGAAUAUAUUGCUACUUGUGAUUCGAAUCGUCUAAUUGUGAGUGGAUAAACGAUGAUGCGAAUAUUUGAAAAUCUUUUUUGUUAACCCGAGGACUAAAACUGGACGAGGAACAUCCGACACACACCCAACGGGUGGAAUUCUCAAGUCCUCGGAAUAACGAAAAAGAUCUCGUGCUUUUCCUCUCCUUGAAAAAUUCCUUUUCAACUGGAACUCAAAUGAUAGUUUCCUAUUUCACAGUGGAACGCCUGGGUACCUCACAUAACAUGUGACCUCAGGAAUACAUCCUUGAUGGAAUAGCUGAAAACAUGAGCAAACUGGAUAUUUUAUCAAAGACGGUGCAAUAUACAUGCAG